GUCUGCAGCCAUACCACCUUGAACACACCCGAUCUUGUCUGAUCUCGGAAGCUAAGGAGGGUCAGGCCUGGUUAGUACUUGCAUGGGAGAAUUCCAAUUUAUACGUACU
This 109-nucleotide ribosomal RNA is filed under the name Prolemur simus (greater bamboo lemur). Lineage: Eukaryota; Metazoa; Chordata; Mammalia; Primates; Lemuridae. The record is from RNAcentral.